GCGGCCGUGGCGGAAUUGGUAGACGCGCUGCCUUGAGGUGGCAGUGGGUAACACCGUGGAGGUUCGAGUCCUCUCGGCCGCACCA
This 85-nucleotide transfer RNA is filed under the name Variibacter gotjawalensis. RNAcentral's name for it is "tRNA-Leu". It matches the Rfam family "tRNA". Rfam says of the family: Transfer RNA (tRNA) molecules are approximately 80 nucleotides in length. Their secondary structure includes four short double-helical elements and three loops (D, anti-codon, and T loops). The record is from RNAcentral. Lineage: Bacteria; Pseudomonadati; Pseudomonadota; Alphaproteobacteria; Hyphomicrobiales; Nitrobacteraceae.